ACCCUGCAUCCAUUGUUUCUGGGG
Molecule: non-coding RNA, 24 nt
Filed under: Arabidopsis thaliana (thale cress)
Lineage: Eukaryota; Viridiplantae; Streptophyta; Magnoliopsida; Brassicales; Brassicaceae
Source: RNAcentral